Molecule: non-coding RNA, 204 nt
Organism: Cinara cedri
Lineage: Eukaryota; Metazoa; Arthropoda; Insecta; Hemiptera; Aphididae
Source: the annotation of a GenBank genome assembly
GGUCAAUUUGUAAUAAGCUAUAAGCGGGACCUACUACGUCAUUGCCGGUGUUCGACGAAACUACGAAUUACUGCGGGUUGAUUUUUUAAAAAUAUAUUUCAAACAUGUUUUGCCGAGAAUCAAACACCAAUAAAAAACAUAUAUAGUCCUUCGUGCGAGUUAACGUUGCUGACAUUUUAUUAUUAACAUCCUGCGUAAAAGGUU